Molecule: small RNA, 757 nt
Filed under: Marasmius albimyceliosus
Lineage: Eukaryota; Fungi; Basidiomycota; Agaricomycetes; Agaricales; Marasmiaceae
Description: eukaryotic LSU rRNA
Rfam family: 5.8S ribosomal RNA (bases 251-404)
Source: RNAcentral
UCCGUAGGUGAACCUGCGGAAGGAUCAUUAUUGAAAACAAUUGUAAAAGAAGGGUUGAGCUGGCUCUUAAUUGGGCAAGUGCUUGCCUUUCUUUUCAAUCUUCAUCCACCUGUGCACUUUUUUGUAGGAAGUCUGGGAAAACAGUACCGGGCUUUCUAUGUCUUUUUUCACACACACACAUUGUAUGUCAUUGAAUGUCUUUUAUUGAAAGAGGGGCUUGAUUGACCCUUUUACAACAAAAAAACUAUACAACUUUCAGCAACGGAUCUCUUGGUUCUCGCAUCGAUGAAGAACGCAGCGAAAUGCGAUAAGUAAUGUGAAUUGCAGAAUUCAGUGAAUCAUCGAAUCUUUGAACGCACCUUGCACCUCUUGGUAUUCCGAGAGGUAUGCCUGUUUGAGUGUCAUUAAAUUCUCAACCUCGAAAACUUUUUUCUGGUUUCUGAGGCUUGGAUGUGGAGGCUUUUGCUGGCUUGUUCAGAGCUGGCUCCUCUUAAAUGCAUUAGUGGAAAAAUUAGCUUUGUAGUCCGCAUUGGUGUGAUAAUUAUCAGCGCCGUUGUAUUCGUGGCUACAGACUCUCGUGGUGUUUCGUUUGGGAAGCUUGCAUGAACUUGCUCUUUCUGUUCUACUCUUGAAACCUGUGAGAGUUGCCAGUAAUUCGCUUCAAACUGUCCUAAGUUAACUGGACAACACUUGACUAUUUUGACCUCAAAUCAGGUAGGACUACCCGCUGAACUUAAGCAUAUCAAUAAGCGGAGGA